AAAAAAAAAAAAAAAGUUUGAAUGUUUUAGAUUGAUGUAAGAAUUCCCAAAAUGAAGACAUUUUCCAAAAUGAAGAAAAUAAGCACUGAACCUUCUGCAUUUCUAUGACACAAAAACAAGCCUUCAGAAUCCAAUGGGAAAGACAUAUUGUGGGCUUUGCAGUGAUAAGGGCUCUGCAUCCCAAGUAGACAGAGCAGUUCACUGUGCCAGAAGUGUGGCUUCUAUUGCAAGUGAUGAUUCGUCUUAGAUUAGGUACGCAUGUCUUCAUAGAAUCAUUGAGUGGCUUGGGUUGGAAGGGACCUCAAGGAUCAUCAAGUCCAACCCCCUGCCAUGGCAGGGCUGAUAACCGCUAGAUCAGUAUUAGAUCAGGCUGCCCAGGGCCCCAUCCAGCCUGGCCUUGAGCACUUCCAAGAACGGGGCAUCCGCAGCCUCUCUGGACAACCUGUUCCAGCACUUUACCACUCUCUUAGUGAAGAACUUCCCCCUGACAUUCUAGGAAAUACGCUUAAUUGUUAGGAGUAAAGAGUGUAGAAAUGAGGAUUAGCUGACUGCUGUCCUGGUGGCCAAAGACUUACCAAGAAGAAAAUGAAAUUAUUGAAGUCUCAGUGAGUCAGAGAUGCCACCUACCAGCAGAAUCUAAGGGAUGUGAAACCACAUUAAGAGAUAAACAACUUGUUUUUUGUUGAACUCACUUUAUAAAGAAAUCUGUGCUAUUCUGUUUCAUUUUCCUGUAAUUCAAAAACAUUUUUUCUAUGUUCCCAGCAUAAAUGAGAGGAAGGGUCUAUAGAAGCCCUAUAACCAAGUCCACACUGUUGUCACGUGUGUUUUUACCUAAUUGCAGCAGAUGCAUUUCCUUCCCUGUUAUUAUUUUCCAACAGAAAUUGAACACAAAUUCACCCAGUCUGCUGUACGAACAACGCUUUAGCAUGGUCUAGAUUCUUGUAUCUGUAAGUUCUGAGCUUUUUCAGCGCAGCAAAGAAACAGUGGCAAUAGGGAGGAAGGAAGUAUUGAAAAGCUAGUGACUGUGAGAACCGGUUCAGUGUCUGAGGCGUAUUUAGCACUGGGAAAAGCUGGUUCAGUUCUUAGCUCCCUUUUCUCUCAUUUAAUUUGUUAUGCACUGCUGUUUUUCAUGUCUUCACAUGUCUCUAAGAUGUUAAAAAAUCUACAGAUGAAACCUGCAAGUAAAAAUAAUGCAGGUAGAAGAGCAAGUCAUGCCUUAUAGUCUACAGCUUUCUCAAUGUAGUUUAUACUAUAAACCUCUUAGUUACAUGCUAAUGUAAUAGAUGACAGUAAUUGAGGCUUUGCCUGCAGCACAUCGCUUUACAAAAGCGUAGAGAUGAGGGUAUCUGUGAUCUUAAAUUUAAAAAAUGAAUGCAUUUCUUAAGCUGGUGCAAGUAGCUAUGCCAUACCAUACUCAGCAGCAGCAGUAUUUGAACCAGGAGCUGCUUCUACCAACAUCUACCCUGUCAAGCAGGAAGACUGUCUGCAAUCAAUUGCUUGCACCAAUAGCUCACAUUUAUGAGAGGGACCAUAGUGCUCAUCUAUGUUGAAUAUAGCACAUGAUGAGAGGACACACUGCUGAACGCUCUCUAUACUGCUCUUUAAAUAACCACAAGAAUGGAAAACAAGCAUUUUGAGAACAUCUGUUGGGUCUGCCUCAUUGCAGCACAGCUGCCCUAACAGCUCCCAGGUGUUCCCAGUUCUUAGGCUGUAUGUUAGCACCUGAUCUCAUUCCAGGUAAAGGUGUUUAGCUUGAUGUUUGCUCUUAUUGUGGGCUAAAAGGCAUUAGGUUGAAUGAAAUUUUGAAGAACAAAGGAAAGGUGCUUUCCUAAUGAAAAUUAUCCUCUCUACUGAAUUUGAAUAAGCUGUUUGCAGAUACAGGUGGGAGGGGUGGUUGGCCUGUUUGCUUGAUUUUUUUUUCUUAGUGAUAGUGUUCUUUGAAGGCAUUGGGAGGUUAAAUGCAGAUGGAUUACUGAUCUGUAGGGGAAAAAAAAGUUAUCUUUGUUGAAAAGAGGAAUAUUGCAGAGGAAAAGCAGCUUUUCAGAAAACUGGAUGAGACGCAAGUCCUUCUGUUAAGACUUGUUCUGAAACUUGGCUGCUGCAAAUGAAGUUUUAUCUGACCUGAAGCUAGAAGAGUCUUGGGGCACAUACUUCCACAAUUAAGCUGAAGGGAAGAAUGAUGGAGGUAAAUUGUGUAAUCUAACUGGCAUCCUGGAUGAGUAAGUACAAGCAAGUUAAUAGAUGUGUUCUUAAUGUUGGGAUGACUGAAUAUGAGUAAGAACCUCAGACCAUAAAUCAGGCCCUGUCAACAUCAACGCUGUAUUUUCUUCCUCUGGGAAGAGGCAACCAGAGUGGUGAUAGCUGUCUCCUGGCAGGAAGCACUGACUUGGAGGAGUUGUUGUUUGUUUUUUUUUUUAUUUUCAAAGAGGUCAUUAUAUGUUUACAGCAUUUAGAAAAGUAUCUAACAUCUUUCUCUCUUCGUCCUCUCCCCCCCCAUCACCUUUUCUUGGGGCUUGAUCGUGGCAUUUCGAAAUCAUCUUUUUAUUGGCAGAAUGACAGUUAUCUAGGGACUUGUGGAAGUUUGUGCUGUCUGGGUUAUUUUAAAAAGCAGUGAAUUCAUAUGAUAAAGCAAUAUUCUUGUAUUUAAAAGUCUAUGAUCCAAGUUUAAGAUGGGAAACAAGUAUGUUCAAAAUGAGGAGGGAAAAAAUAUAAGCUGGUAUGUAUGUAGAGAACUCAUUAGCUGGCUGGAAGAGCUUCAAACUUGAAUUGGUGGAAAUGUUAUCAGUUAAAUAAACAGAACAAGAUAGCACUACCAGCAGUAGGUACUAUUCACCCAAGCCUCCUGCAGGAGGGUGAAGCAGCUGUGCUGCUGUUUGUAGCCUUCCUUUCAGAUAGACUUGUUCUGAGAGGAUUGGACAGUGCUGAACAGAAUGCCAGCUCUUUUCUUAAAAGGCACUGGUUAGGUCUAGGAAACGGCUGAUCAGUCUGGGCUUGGAAAAAGUGGUGAAAGUAAUAAUAAAUGAUGUACUAAUGGAAACCUGAAGAAAUAUGCUGUAGAGGAAUUGAUUUAGUUUCUAGAGAGAAAGCAUGCCUUAUAAACUGCCUGGAAAGCUCCUGAAAGGAUCAGUCGGCGUCCAUGGACAUUGAGAUAGACCACAUGGCUUUCUGAAGACUUCAACAAGGCUGCUCACCACAAGCUGUUGAAGUAAGCACUUACAGGAUCGGAAGUAAGGUCUUAAUGAGGGUAAAUAGCAUGUUAAAAGCUAAGGAAAGCAGUGUUGAAGAAAGUGGUUUUAAUGGUGCUAAAGGAAGAAAGAGGUCUGCAGUGGAGCCCCUGACAGAUUUUAACAUAAAGCUACGGGCGCUGGCUUUGAGGCUCCCGCAGCGCCUUGUUGGAAGGGUGCUCUGGAAAAAGCAUCACUACACUGCUGUGAUUCAUCUUGCCUCCCGGGAGGUGUGCAUUGCUUUCUGCUGACUGCACGGGGCCCAUGGUGACUAGCUCAGCCCCAGCCAACUAGCUUUUAGUAGAGUGAAUCCCGCCCCAAAUUAAUGGGUUUAUUUCUAUCCAAGUGUAAAGGGGGGGGAUUUUCAGCACCAAAGCUUUGAAAUCAUUGUGGCUUUUAUCACUUACAUACCCUUUUGGCAUACUAAGUAUGUUUUAGGUAUAUGCAAAUCAUGGAACAUCGCAUAAUCCAGCACCAUUCCUGGUCACAUUUAGGGGAAUCAUGUAAGAGGGGAAGAGAAUCCAGUUCUUUCAUUUCUGUCAAAUGCUUUGGGAACUUUUGGACGAUUCUUCUAUCUUUCAGCAUCAAAAUCAGGUAUGAACCAAAAUGUUCCCUGCAGCACUGCUGCCCAUCUUACAUGCAAUCUCAUUUUCUUUGGAUUCUCUGAUAACUUCUUUCUGAGAGCUGUUAGAGGUCUGUGUGUAUCAGUGUAAGUGAACACAUCUUUCAUGGGACACUGGCAGGCCACGCAUGUCCUUGAGACCCAAACUGCUUACACCCGUAAGUCAUUGAACAGAAUAGCACAGUGGUGUGUUUCUCUUCCAGAGAAGAUAAUGCAACAGGAUUUUCCCCAAAGACAUGACAUUACUUCAGUGCAUUUUAUUUUCUUUGUUUGCAUCUUAAAUAAGCUCAGUUUAGCAUGGUUAUUUGUAAACUGUUCUCUUUUCUAGAAGGAAGAAAAAUACAAAUAAUUAACCAAGUGUUAAGUUCUGGGUGCAGAAAGUGUUUGCUGAACACUGUGUCUUUGAAUUGUUUUCAGUUGGAGAUGAAACCAGAAUAAGGUUUGAACUUAAGGGCAAAACACACGUAUUCAUUUUAAGGCAGAUUUAAUUUAUUCUGUUAAAAUAUGAAGAGAUGCAGUGAAUUACAAAUUAAUUAGUCAAGUCUAAUGCCUUUUUUCAGGAGAAAGGCGAAAUGCUAGCAGUGAGUGCUGUUUCCACUCGUUGUGCUGCUGCUUUUUCCUCACAGAGUACGUUUGCAAAUACCUGCUCUAGUUGUUUUGAACUGCACAGCAACCCUGUCGCAUUUCCUGUUAAAAUGAGCAAACUGAACUUUGCAGCCUGUGUGCAUCGCUCUGUAACAGCAGCCCGAGUGAUGCUUUCCUUGGCCAGAUGGCGACAAGGGUGUGUGAGCCACGGCUCCUGAACUCAGGCUGAACCUCACAAGCAGGAUGAUGCUGCUAUGGGCCCUGCGUGGGCUGGCGACACAGCUGUCUCUGGCCUCGGGGCCUGGCCGUGUAUGGAGCAAUGGCCUGUCGGGAGGAGAUUGCUUGUUAUUGCUGCCAAGCACUGGGGAAGGUCAUUGGCUUGGCUGCAGCAUCGUCAAGCUGAAAAGUUGCCUGAUGUGGUCGCCUAUUCAGCACAGGCUUUUCUGUGCGAUUUCUUUUUUACAGUAUUCUUUACCUCUUAUAUACUGCCUUUACCUGCUGUUUGGUAGUGGGGUCUGGGGCUGUGAAAUCAUGAGGAAAUAAUCUUUAGCUUGUUUUCCACCUCUUUAUUUAGUUAUUUAUUUUUUCCCUGCUAACGAGGUCUUAAGUCUUUCCAGAUUUUAGGGGAGGGGAUGGGUCUUCAUGAUGCGAAGGAAUUUUAACAUAACUCUCACCAAUGGAAAAGCUCUUAAUAAGUGGUGAAAACUUUGGCCCCUGUGUGAGCAUUCAGUCCUUGGUACCCUUAAAACUUUCCACACGAGAGCUUUCCAGUCAUCUGCGUAUAGCUCUCCAAAAAUAUUGCUGUGAUCUCAUCCAGUAAAAUAACCCUGGUCAGUGCUGGCCCAAAUGCUCAGUUAGGAUGUAUCAGCUGCAGGGCCAUAGGGCUAUGGCCAGCAUACACUCUACCGAAUGAAGGAGUAAUGCCAUUAAGUCAACAUAGGCAGAAACUUUGUCCUCUAUGUGGUAGAGGGUGAUGAAAUGUGUUGAGUUGGUGGCUCUGCAAGGCAGUGUGUGUGGCAGGCAGCAGCUUGUGGGCCCAAUGUCAUGGGGGCAAGGCUUUUGAGAUAGCUAGGCAUUUUUACCCCCAGCAAUGAGAAGUCCUAUUUUUCUACAUCCAGGCCAUACUGGCUCUGGGAAGGUCCUGUGCAUGUUGGACCGUUCAUUUUCUAUCACCAAGCACCUCAGAACUGACAUUUUCUUUCAGUUAACUGCUGUAUCAUGAAGUUAUGUAUCAUGAAGCAAUCUAUAGAGUAAUUUAUAAAUCUGCAAGUGAAUAGCUACUUAAUUAGUUAGGAAUAGUCAUCAGUAGCAACACAGCCUACUAGCUGCUCUUGUGUUUCCUCUUUGGCAGAAACCUGAGUAGCUUCUCUGCAACCCCAAAUUUUUCUGAAAAAGUGGGGAAGUUGGGAAUUUGAGAAACUUGAUCUUGUUUUCUGAAGUUGUACAAUGUAACUGUGUAACAGCAUCCUCAGCUCUGAGCUUCACCAGAAGUGAAAGUAGGACAAUCCAAUCACCUUUAGCCCUGUGGUUUGGUGGAGAUAGACGAGGAUUUAUGCUACUCCACAAGAUAUAGAAUAUCCCAAGUUGAAGGGUUCUCACAAGGGUUGUGGCAUCCAGAUCCUGGCUUCACACAGGACUAUCCAAAAUUCAAUCCCUGUGUUUGAGAGCAUUGUGCAAAUGCUCUUUGAACUCCAGCAGCUCUGGGAUGUGCCCACUGCUCUGGGCAGCCUGUUCCAUAUCCACUGCCCUGUGGUGCAGAACCAAGAUUUUCAAUCAAAAUGGCAAUAGUUAAGGAAUCUUUUUCUUGUCUUGGAUAUAUGAUGUGCUCUAUAUAGGAGUGUCUUUUUAUUUUAUGUUACUUUAUACAUAGCUAGUCAGUCUUUGGCCCUCAUUACUAUUUUUUCUGUUAUUAAACCCUAGGGUGUAAAACAUAGUCUCCAAAUCUACAUAAAUAAAGACAAAUAUUUUCAGCUGAGUGGAGUGAUCAAAUUGUGUUGAGGGAGUUUGAAUCUAGGCACAGUGAUGUCAUUCAACUGCUGUUUGAUUUUUUUUUUUUUUUUUUUUUAAGGAAAAAAUGGAAAAGAAUAUGUAAUUGUGCCAUAAUUAUAUGGGGUAUACGUGUUGAAACCCUGAAAAUAUUUAGAAGCACCUGUUGGAUAGGCAAAAUUUUAGGCAGCUACACACCAUUGAUUUGGUGAGUUCUGUUCUGGGGGCUGUUGGUGGCUUUUUCAGGUUAAGUGCAUCUGCAUGUAUUUGCCAGACUGAGGUCAUUUGCAGUCCAGCACAUGGCUGUGCUUAUUGUUUGGAAGGUAGAGUUAGAGAUAAAAUCAGUUGGAUUAAAAUCUGAGAGAACACAUAAUUUUGUUGUGAUAUUAGCUUAUAAGGAAACAUUUUUGCCAUAAAUUGUACCGUAUAAAUUUCUAUUUGUAGUCCCAGAUUGGAGCACCAGCUGUGUCUAUCACUGGAAUGAUCUAGUUAACAAUGCGUGUCGGAGAAAAUUAUAGCAUAAUUUAUUCAUAUUUCUUAGAAUAGCAGAAAUAAGGCAGAAAUCCAUGUGAGUGUAGACAAAGAUGUUGUCCUAUUCUAUUGCCUAUCCAAAGAUGCAAAGAGAAAAUCCUGUUGUGAUGGAUGAUAAAGGAAAAGCAUAUUAAAGUGUAAGUUCCGAUCCAAGUCAGAAAAAAGCAUGCAGUUCAGGUAGAAAUAGCUGAUAGAACCUGCCAGUCAGUUUAUGAGCAGCUAGAAAUGUAGCACAAUGCAGUUUUCCUACUCUGAGCUUUUGGGUGUGUGGGGAAUGAACUUAAGAUUGAUUUAGUCAAGCCUGGAGAAAGAUGGCUAAAAAUCAAGAUCCCUUUAUAUUUCUUAUGUCAGUGUUUAGCUGUGCUUUCUGUCAAGGCUUUUCUUUAAUCUUUCAGUGGGAGACGUUGGCCAGAAGAAAACAAGGAGUCUAAGAUUUAUGUCGUAUCUUGCAAUAGCUAUGCCUUGGCUCGCAACAAAGCAGAAAAUGAACAGUGCUUCUUCAAGCUGAUACAACAUUGAGAGAGCCCUUACUCACUAAGACAUUGCAGAAUGGUAUGAAGAAGCUAGUGUUUCAAGUUGAGUGAUAUCAGGGCAUUUUGUGAGCUUUUGUGUUUUUUGAUGCAGAUCUUGAAAGCACCACUAAAAAGCACUUGUGUUGGCGAUCAUUCUGUAGUUAAAAUAAA
This is a long non-coding RNA of Tympanuchus pallidicinctus (lesser prairie-chicken), 7631 nucleotides long. RefSeq lists it as uncharacterized. The record is from RefSeq and is a predicted model, not a curated record. The transcript has 3 exons. NCBI's taxonomy places the organism in Eukaryota, Metazoa, Chordata, Aves, Galliformes, Phasianidae.